AUGUGGGGAGGUGGAGGCAACUGCAGGGAGUGGAGUUCCGCUGAUCUCCCGUGUUCUGUUAGCAUAGCUUAGCACAGAGGAGCUAAGCUAUCUAACUAUCUCUAGUGCCAGGCCAGCUUUCCCACGGGAAACCUCAGGACUAAAUAGUGAGACAUGUGGGAACAGGGGUCUCUCAGGGGCUGCAACGUGUUGUCAUAGGCUGGGCUGCUUCCUCUGGAGGUGCCUUGGGGGGGCCUCAGGCUGGGAGGAGGAGCAGACUGUGUGUCAUCGGAGCAUGGCUGCCAGCACUCUCCACAGACAGCUCUAGGAAGCCCUGCAGGCCCUUCAGUUUGGUUUCCAGUUCAGUUCUUCGG
Molecule: long non-coding RNA, 353 nt
Filed under: Mus musculus (house mouse)
Lineage: Eukaryota; Metazoa; Chordata; Mammalia; Rodentia; Muridae
Description: predicted gene, 35853
Source: RNAcentral